This 523-nucleotide ribosomal RNA is filed under the name uncultured bacterium. RNAcentral describes it as "partial 16S ribosomal RNA". It matches the Rfam family "Bacterial small subunit ribosomal RNA", at positions 355 to 895 of the family's 1533-position model. The record is from RNAcentral.
UGGGGAAUCUUGCGCAAUGGGCGAAAGCCUGACGCAGCCAUGCCGCGUGAAUGAUGAAGGUCUUAGGAUUGUAAAAUUCUUUCACCGGGGACGAUAAUGACGGUACCCGGAGAAGAAGCCCCGGCUAACUUCGUGCCAGCAGCCGCGGUAAUACGAAGGGGGCUAGCGUUGCUCGGAAUUACUGGGCGUAAAGGGAGCGUAGGCGGACAUUUAAGUCAGGGGUGAAAUCCCGGGGCUCAACCUCGGAAUUGCCUUUGAUACUGGGUGUCUUGAGUGUGAGAGAGGUAUGUGGAACUCCGAGUGUAGAGGUGAAAUUCGUAGAUAUUCGGAAGAACACCAGUGGCGAAGGCGACAUACUGGCUCAUUACUGACGCUGAGGCUCGAAAGCGUGGGGAGCAAACAGGAUUAGAUACCCUGGUAGCCCACGCCGUAAAACGAUGAUUGCUAGUUGUCGGGAUGCAUGCAUUUCGGUGACGCAGCUAACGCAUUAAGCAAUCCGCCUGGGGAGUACGGUCGCAAGAUU